Molecule: ribosomal RNA, 385 nt
Filed under: Pseudomonas sp.
Lineage: Bacteria; Pseudomonadati; Pseudomonadota; Gammaproteobacteria; Pseudomonadales; Pseudomonadaceae
Description: bacterial SSU rRNA
Rfam family: Bacterial small subunit ribosomal RNA
Source: RNAcentral
AUUGAACGCUGGCGGCAGGCCUAACACAUGCAAGUCGAGCGGUAGAGAGGUGCUUGCACCUCUUGAGAGCGGCGGACGGGUGAGUAAUAUCUAGGAAUCUGCCUGGUAGUGGGGGAUAACGUUCGGAAACGGACGCUAAUACCGCAUACGUCCUACGGGAGAAAGCAGGGGACCUUCGGGCCUUGCGCUAUCAGAUGAGCCUAGAUCGGAUUAGCUAGUUGGUGAGGUAAUGGCUCACCAAGGCUACGAUCCGUAACUGGUCUGAGAGGAUGAUCAGUCACACUGGAACUGAGACACGGUCCAGACUCCUACGGGAGGCAGCAGUGGGGAAUAUUGGACAAUGGGCGAAAGCCUGAUCCAGCCAUGCCGCGUGUGUGAAGAAGGU